RNAcentral lists this ribosomal RNA (250 nucleotides) under uncultured bacterium. RNAcentral's name for it is "partial 16S ribosomal RNA". It matches the Rfam family "Bacterial small subunit ribosomal RNA", at positions 355 to 622 of the family's 1533-position model. The record is from RNAcentral.
UGGGGAAUAUUGGACAAUGGGCGAAAGCCUGAUCCAGCCAUGCCGCGUGAGUGAUGAAGGCCUUAGGGUUGUAAAGCUCUUUCAGCGGGGAAGAUAAUGACGGUACCCGCAGAAGAAGCCCCGGCUAACUUCGUGCCAGCAGCCGCGGUAAUACGAAGGGGGCUAGCGUUGUUCGGAAUCACUGGGCGUAAAGCGCGUGUAGGCGGAUCGUUAAGUCGGGGGUGAAAUCCUGAGGCUCAACCUCAGAACU